This 253-nucleotide ribosomal RNA is filed under the name uncultured bacterium. RNAcentral describes it as "partial 16S ribosomal RNA". It matches the Rfam family "Bacterial small subunit ribosomal RNA", at positions 524 to 776 of the family's 1533-position model. The record is from RNAcentral.
UACAGAGGGUGCAAGCGUUGUUCGGAAUUACUGGGCGUAAAGGGCGCGUAGGCGGCCAUCUAAGUCAGACGUGAAAUCCCCCGGCUUAACCUGGGAACUGCGUUUGAUACUGGAUGGCUUGAGUUUGGGAGAGGGAUGCGGAAUUCCAGGUGUAGCGGUGAAAUGCGUAGAUAUCUGGAGGAACACCGGUGGCGAAGGCGGCAUCCUGGACCAAUACUGACGCUGAGGAGCGAAAGCUAGGGGAGCAAACGGG